AACGAACGCUGGCGGCAUGCCUAACACAUGCAAGUCGAACGAGACCUUCGGGUCUAGUGGCGCACGGGUGCGUAACGCGUGGGAACCUGCCCUUAGGUUCGGAAUAACUCCCCGAAAGGGGUGCUAAUACCGGAUAAUGUCUUCGGACCAAAGAUUUAUCGCCUUUGGAUGGGCCCGCGUUGGAUUCGCUAGUUGGUAGGGUAAAAGCCUACCAAGGCGACGAUCCAUAGCUGGUCUGAGAGGAUGAUCAGCCACACUGGGACUGCGACACGGCCCAGACUCCUACGGGAGGCAGCAGUGGGGAAUAUUGGACAAUGGGCGAAAGCCUGAUCCAGCAAUGCCGCGGGAGUGAUGAAGGCCUUAGGGUUGUAAAGCUCUCUUACCCGGGAUGAUAAUGACAGUACCGGGAGAAUAAGCUCCGGCUAACUCCGUG
RNAcentral lists this ribosomal RNA (433 nucleotides) under uncultured bacterium. RNAcentral's name for it is "partial 16S ribosomal RNA". It matches the Rfam family "Bacterial small subunit ribosomal RNA", at positions 29 to 507 of the family's 1533-position model. The record is from RNAcentral.